UCUUGUAGACCUUGGUAACCUUCAGCAUUUCUUGCAUUUUCUGAAAGAAUUCCAAGGGUAAAAUAUAUUAGAUUGCAGAGCUUUCUCAUGUUACCUAGACCCCAGUGCCCAGUGUCCCAAAGUGCCCGACACUUGAACCUCUAGGGAAAAAAAAAGGGCCCAAGGACAUUCCUUCUAAAAUGCAUAACUACAUUUGUACCCCAAAAAAUGCAUAACUACAUAAACAUAUAUAAAUAUAUAAAAUACCAACUAACUACUUACGUUUUAAGUUAUGCUACAUCGAAGGAAAAAGAAAAUAUUGCUUGAAUCCC
Molecule: long non-coding RNA, 311 nt
Filed under: Elaeis guineensis (African oil palm)
Lineage: Eukaryota; Viridiplantae; Streptophyta; Magnoliopsida; Arecales; Arecaceae
Description: long non-coding RNA (EGUI_LNC022595)
Source: RNAcentral